This 760-nucleotide long non-coding RNA is filed under the name Homo sapiens (human). RNAcentral describes it as "HSALNT0401961". Lineage: Eukaryota; Metazoa; Chordata; Mammalia; Primates; Hominidae. The record is from RNAcentral.
UUUUGAUCUUUCAAACUUUUCUCUCUUCAUAUGAAGUUCCUUUGGAAUUGAAACAAAUUUCAAUUCUCAUAAGAUAUUAACAAUUGGGUGUCUAUCCGUUAAUAGUGGGGUGGAGGGGUUAUUGUCAAGAAAGAGUCCCUCUUAACAGAUGAGCAUUCCAAAGGCUUACCUGUGUGCCUGCCUUUGCUUUUUGGCCGGAGCUGUGCCUGAAGUCAUGUCUACCCUUUGGACUUUCUCUUCAAUUUAAGUCAUUUUGAGUAGUGUUUCUGCCUCUUGGAAUCUAAAGGAUCCACAUGAAUGUAAUGAAGUUAUGUGCCAGGUGCUAUGAGGCGAUGAGAAGGAAGAAGAGUAUGUACCACUGUCUUCCUGGAGGAAGUGACACAGGACCUGAGUCUUGAAAGCCCAGUAGGACUUAGCCAGCUCAAGGGAUUCUGAGCAGAGUGAGCCACAUAAGAAAUUACGUAGGAGCAUGACAGUUUGUGCCGUGUUUUGGAGAUCAAUGCAGUUCAUUGUUAUUGGAGUGAGGUUGGCAGUAGUGGAACAUUAGGUGGAUGAAUAAAUGUCACUAUCUCCGUCCCCAAGCUGAUGUGUGUUAAGUACUUUCUAUUUAUCCUUCAGGAAUUGCUGUGCACUUUACCUGGAUUUAUCUCAUGUAAGCCUUCCACAGCCUCUUGAGGUGCACACUAUAGUUAUCUCAUUUUACUGAUGAGGAAACAAGCUUGGGGAGGGGCUAAAAUAAUGUGUCCAAAGUCACUUAGCU